UACAGAGGGUGCGAGCGUUAAUCGGAAUUACUGGGCGUAAAGGGCGCGUAGGUGGUUUAUUAAGAUUGAUGUGAAAUCCCUGGGCUUAACCUAGGAACGGCAUCGAAGACUGAUAGACUGGAGUAGUGUAGAGGGCAGUGGAAUUUCCGGUGUAGCGGUGAAAUGCGUAGAGAUCGGAAGGAACACCGGUGGCGAAGGCGGCUGCCUGGACAACUACUGACACUGAGGCGCGAGAGCGUGGGGAGCAAACAGG
RNAcentral lists this ribosomal RNA (253 nucleotides) under uncultured bacterium. Its description in RNAcentral is "partial 16S ribosomal RNA". It matches the Rfam family "Bacterial small subunit ribosomal RNA", at positions 524 to 776 of the family's 1533-position model. The record is from RNAcentral.